AUGGGCGUCCUGGAGCUGGGGAACAUCACCGCCCGAAAGCUGAGCGGGGGCGAGAUGAGGAGGCAGCACGGCAGUGCGACAGGUACGAGAGGCAGCCCCCCCCAAAAAAAAUUUGGGGGGCAGACGAGGUGUGGUACUAAGCCAGGUAGCAGACCUGAGCUCACUCCUCGUGCUUAUGAUAAGCAGCGCAUUACUGGUCAGGCACCGUGUUAUGCGGUUAAGCGCACGGUGUCGCCAGUGCGUGUCCAUAGCCCGGUGCGCUAUAGGGCAGCCCCCCGAAAGUGCCAUGCGAGUGUAGGCAUUGAGCCAGGGCGUAUGGUGCCUGCUCAGCGGGUCUGGUCGCCGGUACGCAGUUUUGGUCCAGGUUAUCCUGCGCCGGCUCUGCGUGCUGUGUCUCCGGGGCGCUGGGAGGGUGCAGUGCGUCCUCUGCCUGCGCUCCGCUCGUGCCGGGCAAAUGUGGGAGUGGAGCCUAGGGGAGAGGUGCGUGUAAUGAGCACUAGAUCUCCCGUGCUUAUCCACAGCCCGGUUCAACCUGUGCCUGCACUCUGGAGGGUCCGGGCUAGAGUAGUUGUCCAGCCUGGGGAAGUGGUGCCAAGGUUGCGCACCAGAGCUCCAGUGCUCCCCCACAGCCCGGUCCUUCAGGUGCCUCCUCCUAACACCAAGCCCCCUGAAGGUCUCCCCAGCCUGGUGGUUCCUGUGGCAGCCCCACGCACCAGGCUGUCUCUCCGUCUCCUCCCUGCAGGUGGUCCCGCCUGUCCGGCGCCGCUGCCGGAGCCUCCCGCCUGUCCGGCGCCGCUGCCGGAGCCUCCCGCCUGUCCGGAGCCUCCCGCCUGUCCGGCGCUGCUGCCGGAGUCUCCCGCCUGUCCGGCGCCGCUGCCGGAGCCUCCCGCCUGUCUGGAGCCUCCCGCCUGUCCGGCGCUGCUGCCAGAGCCUCCCGCCUGUCCGGCGCCACUGCCGGAGCCUCCCGCCUGUCCGGCGCCGCUGCCGGAACCUCCCGCCUGUCCGGAGCCUCCCGCCUGUCCGGAGCCUCCCGCCUGUCUGGCGCCGCUGCCGGAGCCUCCCGCCUGUCCGGAGCCUCCCGCCUGUCCGGCGCUGCUGCCGGAGUCUCCCGCCUGUCCGGCGCUGCUGCCGGAGUCUCCCGCCUGUCCGGCGCUGCUGCCGGAGUCUCCUGCCUGUCCGGCGCCGCUGCCGGAGUCUGAGGCGCCAGAGCCCCUCAGCCCAGAGGCGCCAGAGCUUCUGCCCCUCUGUCCAGAGCUUCUGCCCCUCUGUCCAGAGCUUCUGCCCCUCUGUCCAGAGCUUCUGCCCCUCUGUCCAGAGCUUCUGCCCCUCUGUCCAGAGCUUCUGCCCCUCUGUCCAGAGCUUCUGCCCCUCUGUCCUGAGCUGCCCCUCUGUCCAGUGGGGUCAUUGAGAGGGGUGGCCAUGGUGAGAAAGCCACGGAGGCGGACAAUAAGGCGGACUAAGACAAUGGUGAAGUGGGGUCCGCGUCCUGCGCCAGAGCCGCCACCGCGGACAGACGCCCACCCAGACCCUCCCCUAUAG
This 1539-nucleotide long non-coding RNA is filed under the name Oncorhynchus kisutch (coho salmon). RNAcentral's name for it is "lncRNA (ENSOKIG00005017684.1)". Lineage: Eukaryota; Metazoa; Chordata; Actinopteri; Salmoniformes; Salmonidae. The record is from RNAcentral.